This 1319-nucleotide long non-coding RNA is filed under the name Homo sapiens (human). RNAcentral describes it as "HSALNT0030963". The record is from RNAcentral. Lineage: Eukaryota; Metazoa; Chordata; Mammalia; Primates; Hominidae.
GUCUUCGUGUCCAGAACUUGUUUUUCUGAGCCUGUGAACAAGGCUAGCCUGAAAGUCUGGCCUACCUCCACACCUCCCCCAAAGCCCACUCCAUUUUUAUAUUGCUCCGAGGUUAAUAGCCAUGUCGUGUGGGGUCAUAGAAGACAUCUGUGUCUCAGAUAAUAUGCUUACGGUGAUUACCACACAUAAUUGACUGACCUCCCCUCAUUCUUUCCCUGCUGCAGGCCGCGGCUGAUAGGAUGAAGCAAGCCACAAGAGCUUAUUUUCCAUCACACACCAUUGUGCUGCUGAGCAAAUAUUUUAGCAAGCUUUGAAUGAACCACCUUUUCAAGCUCUAGGUUUUCAGAGUGAAAGUAGGAAGCCAUGACCAACCUGAGAGUAUUAGAUUUUAAAUCAGCUUUGGGCCACCCUACUUAGAGCACUGUUGUGGGCAUCCCAGGGAACCAGGCUUGGGACAUGAACAUCGUGGGAUGUUCCCUUCAACUUCAUCUUUCACUUUGUCUUGCAGGGGGUUGGGGGAGAUUCUUGAUACUACUCAUUGCAGCAUCUGGGUGUUUAUAGGGAGGGAAUAAUUAGCCCUUGGUGUCCAGGCAAUACCCCAAAGGGUAACUGGAGUCCAGGCUUUUGCAGUCAGCUCAUCCCGUCACAUCACUGGCCACACGAGAUCCAGCUCCUAGCUCCCGCAUCCACCUGCCCUCACAGGGCCACCUGACCUUCACAAAGGACAUACUAAGCUCUCAACAAAUGGACCCCUCCUUCUGCAAAGACAACUACCACUCCUGAUCCCAGAGAGAAUGGAAAGUAGGAGACUGAGUUGAAAAAUAAUCCCCAAAGCAAACUUCAAAAUGUUACAUUAAGAUUUUAAAACUUUUUAAUAAUGUUUUACCUUAGCUCUAUUCCAUCUAUCUAGCAAUUAAUCCAUCAGUCUUCACAUAAUACACACCUACAGGAAACGCAAUUACACAUCUCUGGGCUGGAUUCCACUGUGAAUUACUAAUGUGUUAACACUAGGGAAUUCCAAGCUCCCUUGACUUUCAGCAUCCCCUCUCCCCAUCCCAUUCCUCCCAAAUAAGCUCUUGAGUGUCACAGAGGACAAGCUGGGGUUCAGUGACUCCACCGGGGUUUUGGCCUAGCUGCAGAGAACCAAUUAGAUUCCAACUCAGUGAGAUCACCUCACCCAGGUCUAAAAUCUCAAUGUUUGCACUCUAAAACUCACAUCAACUCCCCAAGCUUCUAUAGUGCUACAUCUCAGGAAGAUUAACGACAAGAGAUCCACCUAGAAUUGUCAAUUCACCAACAUUUCACGUAAGUCAUCCAUG